AGGUACCGCCCGUACCUUCCGGUUCCUGCGCGCCGCCCGCACCCGCCUGACAACCGCUCGCUACGGUUUGUCAGCC
Molecule: small RNA, 76 nt
Filed under: Pseudomonas oryzihabitans
Lineage: Bacteria; Pseudomonadati; Pseudomonadota; Gammaproteobacteria; Pseudomonadales; Pseudomonadaceae
Description: sX9 sRNA
Rfam family: Xanthomonas sRNA sX9
Source: RNAcentral